RNAcentral lists this ribosomal RNA (510 nucleotides) under uncultured bacterium. RNAcentral's name for it is "bacterial SSU rRNA". It matches the Rfam family "Bacterial small subunit ribosomal RNA", at positions 28 to 525 of the family's 1533-position model. The record is from RNAcentral.
GAUGAACGCUAGCGAUAGGCCUAACACAUGCAAGUCGAGGGGCAUCACAUGAAGUAGCAAUACGGAUGGUGGCGACCGGCGCACGGGUGAGUAACACGUAUGCAACCUGCCUUCAACAAGGGGAUAACCCGUUGAAAGACGGACUAAUACCCUAUAACACAGGGGUCCCGCAUGGGGAAUAUUUGUUAAAGGACAACCGGUUGAAGAUGGGCAUGCGUUCCAUUAGCUAGUUGGCGGGGUAACGGCCCACCAAGGCAACGAUGGAUAGGGGAACUGAGAGGUUUAUCCCCCACACUGGUACUGAGACACGGACCAGACUCCUACGGGAGGCAGCAGUGAGGAAUAUUGGUCAAUGGACGCAAGUCUGAACCAGCCACGUCGCGUGAAGGAAGACGGCCCUACGGGUUGUAAACUUCUUUUAUACGGGAAUAAAGUGCCCCACGCGUGGGGUUUUGCAUGUACUCUGCGAAUAAGGAUCGGCUAACUCCGUGCCAGCAGCCGCGGUAAUUA